GCUGUUUCACUUCUUGUUGUUGGUUUUUUUAAGGUGGGAAAAACCAGGGCGUAAAGCUGAGUUUAGCUACGAUUUUUGGUACCAACCUCGACAUAAAACGAUGAUCUGCUCAUCGUUUGGUGCUCCUUUGGCAUUCACCCAAGGUUUUAACCUUAAACAUGUCGAAGACGGUUUCUAUGGAAGACAACUGUUUGUGUAUGAUUGGCCUGAUGGUCGGCUCAAACAGACAUUGGAUCUCGGUGACAAUGGUCUUAUCUCCGGAGAGGUAACUUUAAGGGUUAAUUAAACCAAAUCUUUAUUAACUACUAUACUAAUCACCUUAUUUUAUCGGUCUAAUUAAUACUCACUUUGAAAUAUAUUUAAAAUAUGUAUCAUAUUAUAAAUUUAUAUAUACUUAUAGCCAAUAUUACCAAAACCAUACUUGUGGCCAGCAUCUACUUUCUUAGCCAAUAUUUACUUCAUAUUUUGUGUAUGCAAAAUGCAAUAAAUCCUGCUUUCUUAGACUUGGAAUUCGCUAUAUGCAUGUAUAUACACUGAUGUGUUUUCUUUGCAGAUAAGAUUCUUGCAUGAUCCAACCAAAGACACAGGGUACGUCGAGUGUGUCCUAUCAAGCAACGUAGUACGGUUUUUCAAGACCCAAGAUGGAUCAUCAUGGAGUCACGAGGUGGCUAUCUCAGUGAAACCAUUGAAGGUACAAAACUGGAUUCUCCCCGAAAUGCCCGGACUCAUAAUCGGCCUUUUAAUCUCUCUCGACGACCGGUUCCUAUAUUUCGUCAACUGGUUCCACGGCGAUGUCCGACAAUACAACGUUGAAGACCCCAAAAACCCAAUCUUGGUCGGCCAAGUAUACGUCGGAGGAUUGCUUCAAAAGGGCAGCCCCAUAACAGCAGUCACAGAAGAUGGAAAAACAUGGCAAGCCGAUGUUCCUAAAAUCCAGGUCUUGUUCUUUCAACAUUGAUAUAAUAACAAAAUUGUCGGAUUAGGCCUAUCAAUGGCGAUAUUGAUGCUGAACAUUGUUUUUGUUUGUUUUUGUAGGGACAUUGUCUCAGAGGGGGACCUCAUAUGACACAGUUAAGCUUAGAUGGGAAGCGGCUGUAUGUGACGAACUCGUUGUUUAGCACAUGGGAUCGACAGUUUUACCCUGAUGUUAUAGAGAAAGGUUCACAUAUGAUACAGAUUGAUGUGGACAUUGAGAAUGGUGGUCUGAAAAUAAACCCAGAUUUUUUUGUUGAUUUUGGAGCUGAACCUGAUGGUCCUUGUUUGGCUCAUGAGAUGAGAUACCCAGGUGGUGAUUGUACCUCAGAUAUUUGGAUUUAAAUCAUAUGAAGAAAAAAACAGUUUCAGUUAUGAAGACAAAACAAUCAAUGUAAUCUUGUUGACUGUUGUGAAUUAAAAGAACACGUGUUCUUGGAGGAGAUAAUGUAAUAAUAUCAUCACAUCCACAUGUACCUUGGACUCUCAAUGUUCUAAAACUUGGCCGUUGUUGCUCAUUGUUGAUAUGAUUUGGACUUUGGAGUAUCCUAAGAGAGGUCCAAAAGGUGUCAACUAAAUAAAGCAAAAAAGUACAAUGGGUAACAAACUUAAACCCAGCUCACAAGGUGUCCUAAGCCCAUAGGAACACCGACUAGCAAGGGUUUGGAGUCAUCCCCAACAACCGUUGGAUCACUGUGAAAACAAAAGAGAUGAAUAAAUAUCGAGACAAACAAUCAUUCCUGCCUUCAUCCACCAAACCUUUAAAUCUCUCAUCGCAUUCCAUUGGUGACUCAAAGAGUAGUGAAGGAACUUAAAGAAACAACUUGUUCGGGGUUCGUUCGGGAUUCCAAUAGGACUUGGAAAAAGCAUUACCCCUUCCGGGAAAGGCAAGCCAACUCCAACUUCAUUAAGCCAUCAAUAAGCAUGGUCACAUCUGACAUACAUCUUAUUCAUGGUUAGUUGUUUUAGUAAUAUUAUUUUUAGAGUUGGAACUUAAGUUAUCUCUUUUGAAGUAUAAUGUGUUUUAACAAAACAUUUUAUAUUUAUUAAUUAAUUAAUAAUUAUAUCUUUUAACGAGUAAUGUGAUAAAAUUCGUUAAUAAUGUAUAAAUCUAUAUAUAAAAAGUUGAUUGAGUCUUAGAUCAGUUGAUAUUGAUAUUAUUGUCAAUAUAAAAAGACAUAGGUUUGAAUGUGUAUAAAAACAAUCUAUGUCGAAGACAAUGGUAGGAAUUUUAUAUUAGAGUAGGAUAAUAUUAUAAAAUUUUGAAACCUAAAGCUAAGAUUUCUAGGUUAAGAAGCUUAAAUUGUUAAUUUUUGUAAAGGACCAAAAAAUAAUUUUUUUUUUUUAGAAUUAGAACUAAAUUAACAAAUUUUGAAGGCUAAAUUUAUUGAAUUUUUUAGCAUUCAAACUAAAAUGUCAAAUUUUGUGAACAUUGAGGGCUAAAUUUUUGUUGAAUAUUUUCUAUUUAGGACCAAAUUAAUAUAAUGUUUAAACAUUAGAGGGCUAAAUUUAUUAUUAGACCAAUAAAAAAAAAGGCUCAAAUCAACUUUAAAUUAACAAUUCAACAAACAAAAUAGAAUAAAGACAAUAGUUUAAGGAUCAUUUGAUUGUUUAACCUUAAUAAAAUCCAUAUUCAAUUAUUUUUUGAAAGAUAUAUUACCUUUAAAAAAAUACAUAUUUAUUUAUUAUUUAUAAACAUUAUACAUAAAUAAAUUUAAUAUAUAUUCAUAAAAAUAUUUACAAAUAUGUUGGUUUAAUGUUUACGAAGAAUUUCAUUUAACUUAAACAAAUAUAUAUAAUUUGAAAUAAAUAAAUAGAAACAUAAUUUUGAAACAUUUAACAUACAUGAACCGACCACAGCUAUUUUUUUAACAGUAAUAUUAUUAUAGGUUAUUAUCAUAUUUAAUUUUUUUGAUAUAAUAUCUAAAAUUAUUCAUAGCAUCUUCCUAACAUUUAAAUAAGAGGAUAAUGCGCUGCAGCGCACUCGAACUCAUGUUCUUCUACACUAACAAUAAUACCGAUAUUAAUCAAACUAAUACUUAAUCGACCGAACACCAAUAAUAUUAAAAAUAAAGGAAUAAAUAUAAACAAAAAUUCAUUUGUUGAAGAUGGGUUGCUCUGGAGGGUUACAAACACCAAUUUCAACGCAUUUGAGAAAAAAAGAAGAAAUAAAAGAUAUUUAAACCCACGGUUAAUAUAAUGUUUAAAACUAUCUAUAGUUUAUUCCUAAUUUUUAAAUAAAAGAAUAAUGGGGUUUAGCGCCCUUGAACUCACGUCCUCCUAUAUUAACAAUAAUACCAAUAUCAAUUGAGUUAAGACUUAAUUGACAAAAUACUUUAUAUAUAUAUAUAUAGUGGGUCCAAAUAUACAAAACAAUUCAUAAAAUCAAUAAUUGAAGAAUUGGACUCACACAUUUGAUCAUCCUCCGUCAAUGUAAACAUCAAUUCCAAAUCUAAAUUCUUGGUUAAAGUCUACUUCUAAUAAGUAAAGAUCAAUUUUAAUUUAACUUCUCCACUUCAAAAAAAUCAAAUUAGAUAAACUAAAAUAUUGUAAUUUGAUUGAAUUAGAACGCGUUGGAUUAAAUUGAGUGAAAUUUUUUUGAGUUAAUCAAGUUUAUGAGUUCUAUUUUAUCAUCUUAAUUUAAUUUAAAAAAAUUUCAAAUCAAGUCGAGUGAAAAUUUGAGUCAAGUCGAAUAGAGCGAAAUUGUUCGAGUUGAAUUAAAAAAUUAAACAUUUUAAUUAAAAUCUUGUUACAGUAUAAUUGAUUCCAUGUUAGACAUGUAAAUUUGAAAACUUUUUCAAAGCAAAAAAAAAAAAAAAAAUACUUCAGAAUAAUAAAGUUGAAUAAUUCAUUAACUUAUUUUAGGUUCCAAAAUUAUUAUUUUAGAAAAUUUUUAAAAUUUUAAUUUUCUUUAAAUUUUUUUUAAAACUUCCAUAAUUUUUUAAAAAAUAUAAAUGAAUUUUUAUAAAUAUUUUUAAUUUUAAAAUUAUUUUUAUUUUUGAAAACUACUAUGAAUUAUUUUGUAAUUUUUGUUGAGAGAGACCAAUCUAUUAUUUGGAUUGUAAAAUUCAACUUGACUCGAACUCAAAACUCGAAUUACUCAACCAACUCAAUCCGAUUAACUUGAAAUUCAAAUUUUUUUCCGAAUCGAAUUGAGUUUUGCUCCUCUAGUUUUAUUAUUAAAAAAAUUCUUAUAUUGAUAUUAAUAAAGUAUUAGAAAAUAUAUACUUAUAUUAAUAUUUAUUUUAUAAUUUAAAAAUAUUUUUAUUUAAGAUUAAUUAAAUAUAUAUUUACAUAUCAAAUGAAUUAGAAUAAGCUAAAAAAAUGGUGGGAAUUUUUAAAACGAAAACUAUGAAAACCAAAAUAAUUUUAGCUAUUAAAUCAAAAUAAAUAAAUUAGAAUAGUGAAUUUAUUGAUUAUUAAGAAAUUAAAAAUAGAAUAAGAAUUUAUUUUAUAAUCAAUGUUUAUUGUUUAUAAAAAUUCUUUAAUAAUAGGAAAUUUUUAUUUGUACUAUAUUUUAAUAGUUAAAAUAAUUAUAUAUUUUAAUAGCAUUCAUUAAUUAUUAUUUUAAAUAAUGAUUACAUGAACUAAAAUUAUAUUGUAUAUUAAAUUAUGAUUUGAAUUUUUUUAAAUAUUAUUAAAAAAUUAUUGAUUUAUAAAAUAUCAAUAUUUUAAUAUGAUAUUUGAAUUUUUAUUAUAUUUAAAUUUUUAAAUAAGUUAAUUAUUUUUUAUUACUUUUUAACCAUUUGAAGAACGAAUUAAAAUUUUAAUUAUAAUAAUUAAAAAUAUAUUAUAUAAAAAUAAUUUAAAAUUAAAUGUAUAAAAUCACAUUAUAACCAGUAAAAAAUAGUUAUAAAUUAAAAGCAAAAGAUAUAAACAUUUUUUAAAAAAUUAAAAUAAAUAGUUUCUAAUUUGUGACCCAAAAAAGUUAGGCACCCAGGCAUUUAUCUGCCCCCACAGCUACACAAAGAGCCUAUAAAUACAAAGGAUUUUCCCAUGCUUAUCACUACCAAAUUACUCAUACAAACCCUUUUUCUAAAGUAAAGUUUUUUUUUCCCCCCUUUUGGUAGUUUAUGAGUAUAGAGAGAGAGAGAGAGAGAGAAUUUGCCAUGGGUGAAGAAGUAGGGUGUUGCAAGAGAACAGGAACAGGAUAUGGAGCUCCAUUGGAAGCCAUGUCUGGUCCUAAAGAAGCUCUUAUCUAUGUUCCUUGUGUUUAUAAUGGUAAUACUACUUUUCUUUCAUUUUCUUUGAAACCACACAUGUUUUAAUUAAUUACUUAUGUUCAUCUAUGUGGGUUUUUUUUUUCGUUCUCUUCUUUUUUUUUUCUUUUUUUUUAUAUAUAUAAUGGAUUUGUAUGCAUCUAUAUAGGAACUGGAAGAGAGAAGCCAGAUUUCUUGGCAACAGUUGAUGUAGAUCCCAACUCACCAACUUACUCUAAAGUUAUACACAGGCUAUCUUUGCCAUAUAUAGGUGAUGAACUACAUCAUACGGGGUGGAAUGCUUGUAGUUCUUGUCAUGGUGAUCCAUCAUCUGAUCGACGGUUUUUGAUCCUGCCUUCUUUGCUGUAAGAAACUGUAACAUGUCUAAUUUUUUAGGGUAGAGUAAACUAUAUAGUUUUCAACUAACUUGGUUCAGUGGAGUUGGUUUUGAUGGUUAAGACAGUUUUGUAACCCAUUAAAACAGGUUAUAUCGGUGGACUAGAAAUAUUAGAUUGUGGUUGACUUAUUACGUGAAAAUAGAUGGUGAAAUUUAUAAAGUUUUGUCUUGAAAUCUUAUUUCAUAUAUAUAUUUAUGUAAAAGAUAUAAACGAAAAACACUCAUAGUACACUUUACCUUAUAAAACAAUAUCCACUUAUAAUCUAUUAAACCUAUUUAUGGGUCGAACAAAAAGGUUUAGCUAAAAAUAUUAGGUUCGAAAAAUAUUUAUGUUAUACAAACUUGAGUACGUGAGUGUUAAAGUUGAAUAAUAUAGCACAACUCGAUUGAGUUCUAAUUCGAUUGAUAUAGAUACUAUUGUCAAUAUAAAAAGACGUGAGUUCGAAUGUGUUGAAAUACAGUAUCUUUCUAUUUAUGAGUUAGGAAACCGUAACGAGUAACCUUAUCUUAAAAAAGAGAAUAUAAGUAUAGAAGUAUAUUAUGAGUAUUUUGCUUGUUUCAGCUCUGGUCGUAUCUAUGUGAUCGACACACAAAAGAACCCCAAGGCUCCCUCGUUGCACAAAGUGGUGGAACCUGAGCACAUCAUUGAGAAAACCGGCUUGGCAUAUCCCCAUACAUCUCACUGCCUUGCCAACGGCGACAUAAUCAUUUCAUUUCUCGGCGACAAAGAUGGAAACGCCCAAGGCAACGGAUUCCUUCUCCUCGAUUCCCAGUUCAACAUCAAAGGGAGGUAAAUGCAAAAACAAAAACAACAAUUUAGACCAUGAAAACAAUUGUCAUUAAGCUUAAGCUGUUUCACUUCUUGUUGUUGGUUUUUUUAAGGUGGGAAAAACCAGGGCGUAAAGCUGAGUUUAGCUACGAUUUUUGGUACCAACCUCGACAUAAAACGAUGAUCUGCUCAUCGUUUGGUGCUCCUUUGGCAUUCACCCAAGGUUUUAACCUUAAACAUGUCGAAGACGGUUUCUAUGGAAGACAACUGUUUGUGUAUGAUUGGCCUGAUGG
This 6630-nucleotide long non-coding RNA is filed under the name Gossypium raimondii (Peruvian cotton). Its description in RNAcentral is "long non-coding RNA (GRAI_LNC003390)". The record is from RNAcentral. Lineage: Eukaryota; Viridiplantae; Streptophyta; Magnoliopsida; Malvales; Malvaceae.